AUUGAACGCUGGCGGAAUGCUUUACACAUGCAAGUCGAACGGCAGCACGGACUUCGGUCUGGUGGCGAGUGGCGAACGGGUGAGUAACAUAUCGGAACGUAUCCAAUAAUGGGGGAUAACGAGUCGAAAGAUUCGCUAAUACCGCAUACGCCCUACGGGGGAAAGCUGGGGACCUUCGGGCCUGGCGUUAAUGGAGCGGCCGAUAUCUGAUUAGCUAGUUGGGGAGGUAAAGGCUCACCAAGGCGACGAGCAGUAGCUGGUCUGAGAGGACGACCAGCCACACUGGAACUGAGACACGGUCCAGACUCCUACGGGAGGCAGCAGUGGGGAAUUUUGGACAAUGGGCGCAAGCCUGAUCCAGCCAUUCCGCGUGAGUGAAGAAGGCCUUCGGGUUGUAAAGCUCUUUCGCAAGGGAAGAAAACUUAGCCACUAACAUUGGUUGAGGUUGACGGUACCUUGAUAAGAAGCACCGGCUAACUACGUGCCAGCCGCCGCCGUAA
RNAcentral lists this ribosomal RNA (500 nucleotides) under uncultured bacterium. RNAcentral describes it as "partial 16S ribosomal RNA". It matches the Rfam family "Bacterial small subunit ribosomal RNA", at positions 30 to 523 of the family's 1533-position model. The record is from RNAcentral.